UUUUUUACAUCUAGGUGCUAUGCAAAAAUAACACCUUAGACUUGGUCUCUGACUUAUAAACAUUUAAGUCUGAGGCAAUUCUGACACUGAUCUACCUACAGACUAAAAUCUGAUGGCUCACGUCAGACAAUAAGCUAAGGAUGUUAUACCAAGACCUCAUGCCUUAGAUUGGUUCUCACGCUUGAUUUUUUGAAAGUUGAAGUGUCA
This 207-nucleotide long non-coding RNA is filed under the name Vombatus ursinus (common wombat). Its description in RNAcentral is "lncRNA (ENSVURG00010008008.1)". Lineage: Eukaryota; Metazoa; Chordata; Mammalia; Diprotodontia; Vombatidae. The record is from RNAcentral.